Molecule: ribosomal RNA, 253 nt
Filed under: uncultured bacterium
Lineage: Bacteria
Description: partial 16S ribosomal RNA
Rfam family: Bacterial small subunit ribosomal RNA
Source: RNAcentral
UACGGAGGGUGCAAGCGUUAAUCGGAAUUACUGGGCGUAAAGGGUGUGUAGACGGUUUGAUAAGUUAAGUGUGAAAGACCUGGGCUUAACCUGGGGGUGUCACUUAAGACUGUUAGACUUGAGUAUGGGAGAGGGUAGUGGAAUUUCCGGUGUAGCGGUGAAAUGCGUAGAGAUCGGAAGGAACACCAGUGGCGAAGGCGGCUACCUGGCCCAGUACUGACGUUGAGGCACGAAAGCGUGGGGAGCAAACAGG